GUGAACCUAAUUUUAACGGCCGCGGUAUCCUAACCGUGCAAAGGUAGCGUAAUCACUUGUUCUUUAAUUGAGGACUAGUAUGAACGGCCACAUGAGGGCCUAACUGUCUCCUAUGGUAAAUUAAUGAACUUGAUCUUCCAGUACAAAAGCUAGAAUAUCAACAUAAGACGAGAAGACCCUGUGGAGCUUCAAACAAACCUAAGCCGCACCAUUACCCUAAACCAGGAUCACCUAUAAGCUCAAUUAGAUAAGUUUUAAGUUGGGGCGACUACGGGGUAAAACAAAACCCCCAUGACAUAAAGCACCUGUAAUAGGCACACACACCUACAACAGCACACAAUGAUCCAGUAUUACUGACCAACGAACCAAGUUACCCCAGGGAUAACAGCGCUAUCCCCUUUAAGAGUCCUUAUCACCAAGGGGGUUUACGACCUCGAUGUUGGAUCAGGACACCCAGGUGGUGCAGCCGCUACCAAGG
RNAcentral lists this ribosomal RNA (478 nucleotides) under Uroplatus phantasticus. RNAcentral's name for it is "partial 16S ribosomal RNA". It matches the Rfam family "Bacterial large subunit ribosomal RNA", at positions 1912 to 2570 of the family's 2925-position model. The record is from RNAcentral. Lineage: Eukaryota; Metazoa; Chordata; Lepidosauria; Squamata; Gekkonidae.